UUUAGGAUUCUCUUUCACUCUUCCAUUCCAAACGGUUCCAUUUUUUUUUAAUACUAUUUACGACACCAUAACUCAGGCACUCGUCCAAUGGUGGCAACUAUCUUGCUUUUUCUUCUUCUCUCAGCAAUUUUCACUGCAGAAGCUCAACAAGGAGAAUCCAAUGUAAGCCUAGGCUCUUCUUUAACGCCUACUACCAAGUUUUCAUGGCUGUCACGUUCUGGUCUAUAUGCCUUUGGCUUCUACCAACAAUCAAAUGGCUACGCCAUAGGAGUUUUUCUUACCGGGAUUCCUGAAAAGACAGUAAUCUGGACGGCCAACCGAGACAAUCCUCCAACUCUCGCUGAUGUUACAUUGAAUUUCACUGGUGAUGGUAGACUUAUCCUGCAAUCUGCACAAGGUAAUGAGUCAACCAUUGUCGAUCCUCCUGAACGUGGAACAUCGGCAUCAAUGCUUAAUUCGGGAAACUUUGUUCUAUAUAAUUCUAAUAAGGAUAUUAUAUGGCAAAGUUUCAACACCCCAACCAAUACCAUUUUGCAGGGUCAGUGUCUCUUAGCUGAUAAAAGGUUGGUUUCAAGUGUUUCAGAAUCUGACCAAUCGACAGGAAUAUUCCAAUUGGUAAUGCAAACAGAUGGAAACCUGGUGCAAUACCCAUACAUACCUGAAUUAAAAGUUGAACAUGCUUAUUGGGCUUCUAAUACAGAUGGACAAGGCAAUAACGUGUCGCUUUGUCUUGAUGAUGAUGGCCAUCUAUACCUGCUCAAUUCCACCGGCAAAUACCUAUCAAAUCUGACUCAAGGUGGAUAUCCAACAAACGGUAUAGUUCGUCCUAUGAGAAUUGAUGCUGAUGGGAUCUUCAGGCUAUACUCACACAAUUUGGAAAAGAAUGGGAAUUGGCUUGUCAAUUGGUCAUCUUCUGAUAAUAAGUGUGACCCUAAGGGCCUGUGUGGCCUCAAUGGGUUCUGUACUACUGUUGAUCGAGAAGCCAACUGCAAAUGUCUUCCUGGAUUUGUAAGAGUUCACCAGGGCAAUUGGAAUUCAGGCUGUGAAAGGAAUUUCAAUGCAGAAAGUUGCCAAAUCAAAAACGGAAUUAUGAAAUAUAUCAUGUCAGAAGCAUCUAAUACAGUUUGGGAAGAUAGCGCUUUUUCGAUUAUGCAGCAGAUAUUGACAAAAGAGGAUUGUGAAGCAUCAUGUUUGGAGGACUGUAACUGUGAAGCAGCUUUGUACAAAGAUGGGACAUGCCGAAAGCAAAGGCUUCCAUUGAGAUUUGGAAGAAGAGUACUGGCUGAUUCAAACGUAGCAUUAAUCAAGGUUGGUAUAUCUACACCCAUCAUAUAUAACAUUGCUCCCAUGGUACGUGAAAAAAGGCCUCAAAAGGGCAUAUUGAUUAUGAGCAUCUCACUUACAGCUUUUGGACUCGUUAUGUUAGUGAUUUCUGGGAUAGCAAUAUAUAGAAAUCGUGUUUGGACUUAUAAAAGACUCUAAUAAUAGUGAAAAUGUUGGUUUGAGCGUGGAUGUUUCUCCAAGAUCAUUUACUUAUAAUGAUCUUGAAAAAAUGACUACUGGUUUCAAGGAAGAGCUGGGUAAAGGAUCAUUUGGGACUGUUUACAAGGGAAUAAUAUCAAAUGUUCAACAGGUUGUAGCUGUCAAAAGACUAGAAAAAUUGUUGACUGAAGGGGAGAGAGAGUUUCAAACUGAGGUUAAAGUAAUUGGAAGAACACACCACAAGAACCUUGUCCGUUUGCUCGGGUAUUGCCAUGAUGGAGAUAAUAGGCUUUUGGUGUAUGAGUACAUGAGCAAUGGCUCCCUUGCAGACAUACUCUUCAAACCUGAAAAACAACUUUGUUGGAAUGAAAGGAUAGAAAUAGCUUGCAAAAUAGCAAAAGGAAUUCUUUAUCUCCAUGAAGAGUGCGAGUCACAAAUCAUUCACUGUGACAUAAAACCCCAAAAUAUACUCAUGGAUGAAUAUAGGUGCCCAAAAAUCUCUGACUUUGGAUUGGCGAAGCUGCUAAAACCAGACCAAACCAAUACCAAAACAGCCAUUCGAGGAACAAAGGGGUAUUUUGCACCAGAGUGGCUUCGGAACCAACGAGUGACAACUAAAGUAGAUGUAUAUAGUUUCGGAAUUGUGCUAUUGGAGCUUAUAUGUAAUAGAAAGAGUGUUGAUUGGGAUCUUCCUGAAGAAGAGGCUAUUCUUGAGGAAUGGGCAUACUAUUGCUUUGAGGCUUGUGAGUUAAGCAAACUUGUGAUUAGUAAUGAGGUUGACCAAAGACAAUUGGAGAGAAUGGUUAUGGUGGGACUCUGGUGCAUUCUUGAUGAACAUCUCUUCGCCCUUCGAUGAAGAAGGUUCUACUAAUGUUGGAAGGAACUGUAGAUAUUCCAAUCCCUCCAAGUCCGACUUCUUUUCUUAGUACUAUAUAAAAUGUAUUUGUAUUUUUAUUUUUUUCAUAGGAAAAGUUAUUGAGGGGGAUUUGAGCUGGAUAUGUCCCUCCAUUAAGACAAGGAAGUGUUAGUAUUUAGCUAGUUUUAAGGCUACUGACAAAAUAUGUUUGUACUAGU
This is an RNA transcript of Quercus lobata, 2556 nucleotides long. It is a transcript of the gene named G-type lectin S-receptor-like serine/threonine-protein kinase LECRK3, with no coding region annotated. The record is from RefSeq and is a predicted model, not a curated record. The transcript has a single exon. Lineage: Eukaryota; Viridiplantae; Streptophyta; Magnoliopsida; Fagales; Fagaceae.